Molecule: long non-coding RNA, 2513 nt
Organism: Rana temporaria (common frog)
Lineage: Eukaryota; Metazoa; Chordata; Amphibia; Anura; Ranidae
Exons: 2
Source: RefSeq, a predicted model, not a curated record
CCACCUUAAUCAGCCACAGAACCUGUGUAAUUCAUAUGUGUUUGAUUUUAAAGGGAUGUGGUGGCAACCCUAGUCUGGGUCAGGUAUUGUCCUGCACCUGAGGUCCUAUACAACCCUAGUCUGGGUCAGGUAUUGUCCUACACCUGAGGACCUAUACAACCCUAGUCUGGGUCAGGUAUUGUCCUACACCUGAGGUCCUAUACAUCCCUAGUCUGGGUCAGGUAUUGUCCUGCACCUGAGGUCCUAUACAGCCCUAGUCUGGGUCAGGUAUUGUCCUACACCUGAGGACCUAUACAACCCUAGUCUGGGUCAGGUAUUGUCCUACACCUGAGGUCCUAUACAACCCUAGUCUGGGUCAGGUAUUGUCCUACACCUGAGGACCUAUACAACCCUUGGUCUGGGUCAGGUAUUGUCCUGCACCUGAGGUCCUAUACAUCCCUAGUCUGGGUCAGGUAUUGUCCUACACCUGAGGACCUAUACAACCCUUGGUCUGGGUCAGGUAUUGUCCUGCACCUGAGGUCCUAUACAACCCUAGUCUGGGUCAGGUAUUGUCCUACACCUGAGGACCUAUACAACCCUUGGUCUGGGUCAGGUAUUGUCCUGCACCUGAGGUCCUAUACAACCCUAGUCUGGGUCAGGUAUUGUCCUACACCUGAGGACCUAUACAACCCUUGGUCUGGGUCAGGUAUUGUCCUGCACCUGAGGUCCUAUACAUCCCUAGUCUGGGUCAGGUAUUGUCCUACACCUGAGGUCCUAUACAACCCUAGUCUGGGUCAGGUAUUGUCCUACACCUGAGGUCCUAUACAACCCUAGUCUGGGUCAGGUAUUGUCCUACACCUGAGGACCUAUACAACCCUUGGUCUGGGUCAGGUAUUGUCCUGCACCUGAGGUCCUAUACAACCCUAGUCUGGGUCAGGUAUUGUCCUGCACCUGAGGUCCUAUACAACCCUAGUCUGGGUCAGGUAUUGUCCUACACCUGAGGACCUAUACAACCCUAGUCUGGGUCAGGUAUUGUCCUACACCUGAGGUCUUAUACAACCCUAGUCUGGGUCAGGUAUUGUCCUACACCUGAGGACCUAUACAACCCUAGUCUGGGUCAGGUAUUGUCCCGCACCUGAGGUCCUAUACAUCCCUAGUCUGGGUCAGGUAUUGUCCUGCACCUGAGGUCUUAUACAACCCUAGUCUGGGUGAGGUAUUGUCCUACACCUGAGGACCUAUACAACCCUAGUCUGGGUCAGGUAUUGUCCUACACCUGAGGUCUUAUACAACCCUAGUCUGGGUGAGGUAUUGUCCUACACCUGAGGACCUAUACAACCCUAGUCUGGGUCAGGUAUUGUCCUACACCUGAGGUCUUAUACAACCCUAGUCUGGGUCAGGUAUUGUCCUACACCUGAGGACCUAUACAACCCUAGUCUGGGUCAGGUAUUGUCCCGCACCUGAGGUCCUAUACAACCCUAGUCUGGGUCAGGUAUUUUCCUGCACCUGAGGACCUAUACAACCCUAGUCUGGGUCAGGUAUUGUCCUACACCUGAGGUCCUAUACAACCCUAGUCUGGGUCAGGUAUUGUCCUGCACCUGAGGUCCUAUACAACCCUAGUCUGGGUCAGGUAUUGUCCUACACCUGAGGACAUAUACAACCCUAUUCUGGGUCAGAUAUUGUCCUACACCUGAGGUCCUAUACAUCCCUAGUCUGGGUCAGGUAUUGUCCUGCACCUGAGGUCCUAUACAUCCCUAGUCUGGGUCAGGUAUUGUCCUACACCUGAGGUCCUAUACAACCCUAGUCUGGGUCAGGUAUUGUCCUGCACCUGAGGUCCUAUACAUCCCUAGUCUGGGUCAGGUAUUGUCCUACACCUGAGGACCUAUACAACCCUAGUCUGGGUCAGGUAUUGUCCUACACCUGAGGACCUAUACAUCCCUAGUCUGGGUCAGGUAUUGUCCUACACCUGAGGACCUAUAUAUGACUGCUCUUUAUCUCUGUCCCAAAGCACAAACCAAAAAUGUAAUGUCACAAUCCAACACUGGUAACUGAACUAUAUAGACAUUCCUCUGACCAGACCAAGAUUACAAUACAGGAGAGGUGGUUUCAGAAUUCUAUGCACGUUUCUUUCCAUCCUUCCUCCCUAUAUUCUGACACCUUCUUCGAGACCUUGCUCCUCCUCACCGUACACCAGACUGUGACCUAUACACAUUCAUAUCUUUGGAGGCCUGUAAAGAAAAAUAGAAGCUUCCUCGCAGAAAUAAGCGUAACAAGAAAGUAAAUACGAAAGCCGAUCACGACAGUUCAUCCGAAACACAACGUUUUCUCGGACGAUAGCAGAACAAAUAAUUUUCUUUUAAUCAGUACAGUAAUUGGUUUGAAAAAUAAAAAUCGGGAAGACCAAGACCACGCAUGCCCAGAAAUGAAAGAAUACAUUACUAUAGAAUACAUGGCAUCACUUCCGAAGUCGUAUUCUGUCGUACGAGAAUUUUCUAACAUUUUAGUAACUUCUUCGUUUUCGAUAUGAGACUAGCAUG